AUUGAACGCUGGCGGAAUGCUUUACACAUGCAAGUCGAACGGCAGCACGGGGCAACCUGGUGGCGAGUGGCGAACGGGUGAGUAAUAUAUCGGAACGUGCCCAAUCGUGGGGGAUAACGUAGCGAAAGUUACGCUAAUACCGCAUACGAUCUACGGAUGAAAGCGGGGGAUCGCAAGACCUCGCGCGAAUGGAGCGGCCGAUAUCAGAUUAGGUAGUUGGUGGGGUAAAGGCUCACCAAGCCAACGAUCUGUAGCUGGUCUGAGAGGACGACCAGCCACACUGGAACUGAGACACGGUCCAGACUCCUACGGGAGGCAGCAGUGGGGAAUUUUGGACAAUGGGCGCAAGCCUGAUCCAGCCAUUCCGCGUGGAGGACGAAGCCCUUCGGGGUGUAAACUCCUUUUCUCAGGGAAAAGGAUGAUGGUACCUGAGGAAUAAGCCCCGGCUAACUACGUG
This 457-nucleotide ribosomal RNA is filed under the name uncultured bacterium. RNAcentral's name for it is "bacterial SSU rRNA". It matches the Rfam family "Bacterial small subunit ribosomal RNA", at positions 30 to 507 of the family's 1533-position model. The record is from RNAcentral.